AAAUUUUGUAUGUCUGAUACUUGUCAAAACAUUCAGGCAGAAGUGUAUGUUGACCAAAUUGUUGAGACUGGCCAGAAUAAAAAUCCAGCUGGAAACAAAUGGCCAAAAAUUACUUUAUCCAAGUCCCUUUACAGACUGUGCUUAUCAUACAAACAUAAUCUAAGAUGGUGAGAAAGCUUCUUUGCAGGCACUGGCUAUUCCUUGAUCUCCUCAUCUCUGGAUUCUAUCUAUACUCCCACCUGCUGCUGUUUGAG
RNAcentral lists this long non-coding RNA (254 nucleotides) under Homo sapiens (human). RNAcentral's name for it is "HSALNT0112916". The record is from RNAcentral. Lineage: Eukaryota; Metazoa; Chordata; Mammalia; Primates; Hominidae.